CUUAACCGUACAUUUUGUUUUCACAGAUUAACCUCGCCUCAUAACGAGGCCGUGACCUAUUUGCUCGGAGCAAGUCCAGAUUUACAUGAUGUUGACAAUGACGGCAUUGUGUCUGCCUGUAAUUACGAGACAGUAAGCAGGAGCUUCAGGUAGAAACAACCAGAUCUUGCAUCGCAGGCGGAAGCUGUGAAGAGUUCAGCUCGGAGUCCAGCGAGAAGAAAGAGGCUGCUGGAAGCGAGACAGUGUGCUGGAUGGAUUGUGCAUCCUUUUCGCAGCCAGCAGAAGUACAGGGAAACGCACCACAGACGUCUGCAAAACGGACCGAA
This is a long non-coding RNA of Sander lucioperca (pikeperch), 326 nucleotides long. RefSeq lists it as uncharacterized. Lineage: Eukaryota; Metazoa; Chordata; Actinopteri; Perciformes; Percidae. The record is from RefSeq and is a predicted model, not a curated record. The transcript is spliced from 3 exons.